UAUUAAAAAACAAACUUUUAAGAGCCCGAAGUAUGUGUUACAGUAGGUCGCUCGGCAGACACCAGUGACCCACCUUGUAAUUGUAAAUUAAUUGGGCAUUCAACUACAACAAAUCUUAGCUAAUACAGACCAGACAUGCAGCCAUGCACACUCCGGCACUGAGGCCACAGCUGUGAGCAAUGCCAGCUGGUUCACUGCAGAGCUCUGGCACGAGGGCACCUCAGACCACCCCAGCAUGCCUGCUGGCCCCUGGCAUUGCUGGCUGCAGCAGGACCAAGGCCUUUUCUGUCCCAUGAACUUCCCAUCUCUGUGUCCUUCAUCUCUGAGAAAUGUUGUAUACCACAGAGCAGGCAGAAACAGCACAGGCACUCCUUUGGCAUUGCUUCAUAUUAGCAGAGACCUGCGUCUUAGCAUGGUCCUUGUAAAGGCAUGUUCAGCUACCUCUGCUCUUGCUGAGCCAGCAGAGGAAGCAGAGCCUGAAGCAACUGUAAGUGAAAGUGCUGCUACUGUUGACACAAUCAGGGUGCAGCAUCAUGAACUGGAGAAGAAGCAGGCUUCCAGGGUUCACGCUAUGCCCCCAAGCAGAUGAAUUGCCAAAUCAGAUCAGAUCAGGCGAGGUGUUUUCUGCAGGCUAAGACAGUGAUCCUCAGCUCCGAACCAAAAGUUAUCUGCGGAUCUUUGCAGCUGAAGUAGUGGCAAGCUUGGGAACAUGUCUGCAGUCUACUAAAGGGCUCGCAGUGUUUGCACCAUACAGGAGUGGUGUUGUGGCAGGAGAGACACUUCAGAUGUACAGCUGGAAUUGAACACAGUGCACUGCAGAUAACAGGUUAGACAUCUGCUUGGUACGUGCUUUAGUCAAUCGCACAGCUGCCUGAUCUGUGCCUGCACAGCAAGUUGAACCGUCACCACGCCAAACGGGAAGUGAGAGCCCCAUCUGCCCCAACACGUCAGCACUCCAUUUCCACGUGCCACGUACUUUCAGACCUCAGCCCUAUCCCAGAGUAGCGCUGGCCAGGAUAUGUCCGUGGAGUAAGAUACUUAAGAAAGGACCAGAAAACGCACCUCAGUUCUAGUCAAACCAUACCGAUAAUACACUUUGUGCUCAGAUGCAGUGUUUGGCUAUGACCUGUCAGAAACAGAGCGCAGGGCAGAGAAAGCUUCAGAAAACGAUCACCACCUGUCACCUCCUGACGUGUCUUCCUUGAGCAAGUUUUUGUGACUGGUGGAACACGGGUAUGCGUCCACGAAGGGAUCUGAAGCAUCCUCGAGCACAGGCUGCGUUUAAACAGGUCGUGCAGCGCGGCUCGUUCAGGUUUGGCGGGUGAAGCAUUAACACCCAGCAGCUGAGGAAAGGCCGGGAUGGGAGCUGCCGCGGGAGCGACGCCCGUCACCCCGCCUGCCUUCCCCCCGCGGCGGGCCCCGCU
This 1424-nucleotide long non-coding RNA is filed under the name Gallus gallus (chicken). RNAcentral describes it as "lncRNA (ENSGALG00010001933.1)". Lineage: Eukaryota; Metazoa; Chordata; Aves; Galliformes; Phasianidae. The record is from RNAcentral.